This 1026-nucleotide long non-coding RNA is filed under the name Gallus gallus (chicken). RNAcentral describes it as "lncRNA (ENSGALG00010005898.1)". The record is from RNAcentral. Lineage: Eukaryota; Metazoa; Chordata; Aves; Galliformes; Phasianidae.
GGAUAUGAAAAUGCAGAGAAUCUGGGUUCCGACAUAAAGGAAACACACACUCCCUCUCUAAUCUCUGACAGAGGUAAGGCUGAACAAGACACAGGCAAACCCUCCAGAGGAGUUUAAUGUGGAAACUAUGUGACAAACAGGGUCCUCCUGAUCUCUGCAGCAUGAAUGUCCUGAGCAGUCCUGGUCCUGGAAGAACUGCAGUAGAUACAGAGAAGAGCAAUAAGGAUGAUCAAAGGAGUACCAAUAAUGCCAAAGAUGCUACACUAUAAACGAUCGAAUUUUACUGAGAAGCUCUGGAGCACGUCACAAAACAAAGAAAAGAAAACAUGGUGAGAUAGUCUUGUUGAUGGGAAGUUCCUUCACAGCACUGAUUAUUUCCUUUAGAAAAUCUGCUUUUUACAGAUGACUGGAAGCAUGAAUGACAGUGACAGGAAGCAUGUGGAAAAAUGAUGAGCUUAAGGCUUCCACAGACAUCUAAGGCUAUGGAAGUAACCAUACCAGACGAAAACCACAGAUCCUUCUGGCCCAGCUCCUCAUCUCUGACAGUAACCAAGAAUGAAUCCAAGGAAGUAUAUAUGAACACAGUAUAUGAAUCGGCACUUUUUUAGUGAGCUCAGACAGCCUACAGCAAUCCUUGGCACAGGAACUUCCUGAGAAAAAAUGUGACGUGCUUCCGUCUUACAGCAGAGUGCAAGCUGAGAGUUAUAACACGGAAAUUUUGUGACAUUAUAUGCAUAUAUGACCAACAAGAAGUAUUUUUCUGUGGAACCAUGCAAAACACAUGAUUUAUCUGAGUGAACCUACAUGAUUCUAAAAUUUAAAUAUCUUCCAGUCUUUGUACAUUUCAUAUUGUGUUUAAAAAUAGGAUUUAUUUUUAAGACAACGCCACUUUUCUUUAACUUAGUAGUAACACAAUUAGCAAAAUAAAUGAUUUUAAAAGAUAAAUGCUAAUUAAAGUGAAAUCUACUAUAGUUACUACAUUUGAAUUCUGUGUAUCUGACAAAAGAAAUAAAGUUUAAAUAACUU